This 997-nucleotide ribosomal RNA is filed under the name Leucobacter sp. CPA-108. RNAcentral's name for it is "bacterial SSU rRNA". It matches the Rfam family "Bacterial small subunit ribosomal RNA", at positions 56 to 1059 of the family's 1533-position model. The record is from RNAcentral. Lineage: Bacteria; Bacillati; Actinomycetota; Actinomycetes; Micrococcales; Microbacteriaceae.
UGCAAGUCGAACGCUGAAGCCCCAGCUUGCUGGGGUGGAUGAGUGGCGAACGGGUGAGUAACACGUGAGUAACCUGCCCAUCACUCUGGGAUAAGCGCUGGAAACGGCGUCUAAUACUGGAUACGAGCAGCGACCGCAUGGUCAGCUGCUGGAAAGACUGGUUCGGUGAUGGAUGGACUCGCGGCCUAUCAGCUUGUUGGUGAGGUAAUGGCUCACCAAGGCGACGACGGGUAGCCGGCCUGAGAGGGUGACCGGCCACACUGGGACUGAGACACGGCCCAGACUCCUACGGGAGGCAGCAGUGGGGAAUAUUGCACAAUGGGCGCAAGCCUGAUGCAGCAACGCCGCGUGAGGGAUGACGGCCUUCGGGUUGUAAACCUCUUUUAGUAGGGAAGAAGCCUUCGGGUGACGGUACCUGCAGAAAAAGCACCGGCUAACUACGUGCCAGCAGCCGCGGUAAUACGUAGGGUGCAAGCGUUGUCCGGAAUUAUUGGGCGUAAAGAGCUCGUAGGCGGCUUGUCGCGUCUGCUGUGAAAACCCGAGGCUCAACCUCGGGCCUGCAGUGGGUACGGGCAAGCUAGAGUGCGGUAGGGGAGAUUGGAAUUCCUGGUGUAGCGGUGGAAUGCGCAGAUAUCAGGAGGAACACCGAUGGCGAAGGCAGAUCUCUGGGCCGUAACUGACGCUGAGGAGCGAAAGCAUGGGGAGCGAACAGGAUUAGAUACCCUGGUAGUCCAUGCCGUAAACGUUGGGAACUAGAUGUAGGGCCUGUUCCACGGGUUCUGUGUCGUAGCUAACGCAUUAAGUUCCCCGCCUGGGGAGUACGGCCGCAAGGCUAAAACUCAAAGGAAUUGACGGGGGCCCGCACAAGCGGCGGAGCAUGCGGAUUAAUUCGAUGCAACGCGAAGAACCUUACCAAGGCUUGACAUAUGGAAGAACGGGUCAGAAAUGAUUCACUCUUUGGACACUUCUAUACAGGUGGUGCAUGGUUGUCGUCAGC